This 465-nucleotide ribosomal RNA is filed under the name uncultured bacterium. RNAcentral's name for it is "partial 16S ribosomal RNA". It matches the Rfam family "Bacterial small subunit ribosomal RNA", at positions 28 to 507 of the family's 1533-position model. The record is from RNAcentral.
GACGAACGCUGGCGGCGUGCUUAACACAUGCAAGUCGAACGGAAAGGCCCUGCUUGCAGGGUACUCGAGUGGCGAACGGGUGAGUAACACGUGGGUGAUCUGCCCUGCACUUCGGGAUAAGCCUGGGAAACUGGGUCUAAUACCGGAUAGGAGCCAUUUUUAGUGUGAUGGUUGGAAAGUUUUUUCGGUGUAGGAUGAGCUCGCGGCCUAUCAGCUUGUUGGUGGGGUAAUGGCCUACCAAGGCGGCGACGGGUAGCCGGCCUGAGAGGGUGGACGGCCACAUUGGGACUGAGAUGAGGCCCAGACUCCUACGGGAGGCAGCAGGGGGGAAUAUUGCACAAGGGGCGCAAGCCUGGUGCAGCGACGCCGCGUGGGGGAAGACGGCCUUCGGGUUGUAAACUCCUUGCGCUAGGGACGAAGCUUUUUGUGACGGUACCUAGAUAAGAAGCACCGGCUAACUACGUG